CUACGGGCUGCUGCAGUGAGGUAUCUUGGACAAUGGGCGAAAGCCUGAUCCAGCGACGCCGCGUGGGUGACGAAGGCCUUCGGGUUGUAAAGCCCUGUCAGAGGGGAAGAAGUUCUGACGGUACCCUCAGAGGAAGCACAGGCUAACUCCGUGCCAGCAGCCGCGGUAAUACGGAGUGUGCAAGCGUUGCUCGGAAUCACUGGGCGUAAAGGGCGCGUAGGCGGCUUGGUAAGUUGGAUGUGAAAGCCCUCGGCUCAACCGAGGAACUGCAUCCAAAACUGCCUGGCUAGAGUACGGAAGAGGAAGGCGGAAUUCCCAGUGUAGGGGUGAAAUCCGUAGAUAUUGGGAAGAACACCAGUGGCGAAGGCGGCCUUCUGGGACGAUACUGACGCUGAGGCGCGAAAGCGUGGGGAGCAAACAGGAUUAGAUACCCCCGUAGUC
Molecule: ribosomal RNA, 441 nt
Filed under: uncultured bacterium
Lineage: Bacteria
Description: partial 16S ribosomal RNA
Rfam family: Bacterial small subunit ribosomal RNA
Source: RNAcentral